Molecule: ribosomal RNA, 459 nt
Filed under: uncultured Streptococcus sp.
Lineage: Bacteria; Bacillati; Bacillota; Bacilli; Lactobacillales; Streptococcaceae
Description: partial 16S ribosomal RNA
Rfam family: Bacterial small subunit ribosomal RNA
Source: RNAcentral
ACGGGAGGCAGCAGUAGGGAAUCUUCGGCAAUGGGGGCAACCCUGACCGAGCAACGCCGCGUGAGUGAAGAAGGUUUUCGGAUCGUAAAGCUCUGUUUUAAGUCAAGAACGGGUGUGAGAGUGGAAAGUUCACACUAUGACGGUAGCUUACCAGAAAGGGACGGCUAACUACGUGCCAGCAGCCGCGGGAAUACGUAGGUCCCGAGCGAUGUCCGGAUUUAUUGGGCGUAAAGCGAGCGCAGGCGGUUUGAUAAGUCUGAAGUUAAAGGCUGUGGCUCCACCAUAGGUCGCUUUGGACACUGUCAAACUUGAGUGCAGAAGGGGAGAGUGGAAUUCCAUGUGUAGCGGUGAAAUGCGUAGAUAUAUGGAGGAACACCGGUGGCGAAAGCGGCUCUCUGGUCUGUAACUGACGCUGAGGCUCGAAAGCGUGGGGAGCGAACAGGAUUAGAUACCCUGGUA